AUUUCACAAUAUAUACAUAUACUGAAUCAUUAUGUUGCACACCUGAAACUAAUACAAUGUUAUAUGAACAAAGAACAAACAAUCCAGACUAUUCUGAUAGAAACUAGCGGAAGAUCGGUUGGUCACGGUGCGGUGAUCGGGGAAGUCUUCUCUAAGGAAUGAUGUUGAAUUUGGAUGGGAAGCAGCCAGCCCUCCUGCCAGCAGAGAAUCUGGUGGGGGAGGAGGGAGUUGAGGUGGCUGAUGGUCCACACAGAGGGAACAACAUACGAAGCCGUGAGAUGGAAAUGUCUUGGUUCUUUUGGGAGCUGAAAGGAGGAUUGGUAGCUCAAUUUUUGAAGCUUGGUUUGGAAUAAAAAUGGGAUAUCUGAGUGGAGAGUUUCUAGAAUAAGGAGGAAAUUAACAGCCCAAAAGGAAAUGAGUUGUCACUGGUGACAUUCACUCAUCAUAAACCUGAUCUGAGUCAUUCUGGGCGUCGGGGAAGUAGCAGUAAGAAGCUUGCACUCUAGAAAUAGAAAAGAAAUAACUCAAUAAACAAUUUGAUUUCAGAUCAUGAUAAGGUCCUAUUAAGAUGACACAAUAUCCUGGGAAUGAUAAUGACUGCUUUAAAUAGGGAAGUCAGAGAAGGCUCUUGAGGAGGAGACACCAGCUGCAGAGGCUGCAGUGAGGGCAUUUCAACAGAGCAUGUGCAAAAGUCCUGAGAUCUGCUGGUUCUACUUUUUCUAUUGUCGCAAAUGCUCAGAGUAUUCUCGUGGUCCCUCUGUCCCACAGCACACAAGGACACCUCACUUCAUCGUGUCCAGAGGCAGCAUAUCAUCUCUGGGAAGCCAGAGUCGCCCGUGCAUGCUCCAUCUCCUCUCUCUCUGUGACUUCUGCCUCUCUUUCUGUCACGCUGUGCAGCUUAUCUUCCCACCCCAGCUACACUGCCAGCAACCCCUUCUCCCUCCUGAGGGAGGCACAGUGAAGUGCUCUGUGGACUACAACCUGGGAGGAGCCUCAAACAGCGGAGGAAGUUUCUGUGGCCCAGGAGGCUGGGUCAGGAAAUGGGUGGCUGUAACUGUAGGGAUGGGCACAGUUCACUGACGAGCCUGAGACUCAGUUCAACAAGCUGGCACUGAGCUCCUGCUGUGGGGGUUCUGGGCCACUCGCUUGCAUCUUCCUAACACACGUCUGGGUGUUUGAGAAUGUGAGCUCUGAAUGUGGAUGCAAAUGCAUGGCUAUCUACGUCCAAAAGAAGAAUGGAGUAGAGAAUCAUGCUCUCAAAGGCAAACUGAGACAAACUUCGCAAAUUGCAAUUAAAGACGAACUGAGAUGUUACCAAGUUGCUACUUAGAAACUAUACAAAAUAUGCAAAUAUAUUUUCUUUAUAGAAUUAAGCUACCCAAGAACCAGACUCAAAAACAUUAAUUGAGCACCUAUUAUAUGCCAAGUCCUCUGCUUGGAAAACGGAUUUAAUUCUUACAGUGGUCCUUUGCAGUAUGUCUAAUUUUCCCCAUUUUACGGGUAACGGGCAAGAGAGCAGCCUGAUGCACUGGUCACGUCCUACAGACCGGCAGAGCAGGGGCGGGCACGCAGGUCUUCUGACCAUGGAUCCUGGGUCAUCUCCUGAGACACCAACCACCUGCUCAGCAUCAUGACAGCACAUUGGGAGGCAGCCUGGGGAGAGUCGAGAGCAGCGAUGGCUACGCCCGAUUGAGUGUGAGUGAGAAUCUCAGCGUUACUCUUUCUAGCUGGGUGAGCUUGGGCCAGUAACUUGACUUUCAUAAGCCUCAGUCUUCUGAUCUCUACAAUUGGAAUAAUAAAACCCAUGUUGCAGGGUUGUUUAAGGACUGAAUGAGCUUCUUCCAACAAGCAUCCCUCAUCAUGCCUGGUACACGGCACUCAAUAGAUGGGAGUUACGUAUCCUGUCAAAGGAGAGAAGUUAGCCCUCAGGGUGCUCUUUUUAAGCUUGUUCACAUCCACCAGCUCCUUGUAUUCUCUAGCAAAUGGAGCUAGCUGGUGGAGGGCAGGGCUCCAACCUAACGCUGUCUCCAAGAUGGUGCUCCUCGCUCCCCAGCCCUCUCCACCCAGAGUGAGCAACCCAAUCAUCCUCAUUAAAGCAGGGGCUUCCCACUGCCCAGCCUCACGUCUGCAGCCGGGAGCAGAAGAGUCAGAGGGACAUGAGUGGCCAUCAGCAGUUAACAUUCAAUGUCUCAGGACAUAUCCACCACCCGAAGUCUCUUGUCACAUUCUCUCCCUGAGGUUUCCAACAACUGAAGAGACUCACAUUGGAAUCAAAAUGCUGCCUUUUUAACAUAAUGACUGCCCCCUUGUACCUUCAGAUGCCUGAGCGGGAUGAUUUACAUAAAUGCCCUGCGCACUGUGUCAGAACAUUUAGAUAUGAGCGUCUGAAUCGGGCUCUUAUUAAGAAGAAAUUCGUUCCUAAUGUAAUUUAAUUUUUUUGUAUACUUACCCCAUCAAAUACCCUGCCUAAUAAAUUAUGUAAAAAAAGUUAAAAAUAAGUGAGUCACAUGACCCUUGAAGUUAGAAAAUAAAUCAGGAAAGAAAAAAAGGGAAGUGAAUUGUUCUAAGUAUACCAGAAAGGCCUUAUGUAUUCAGAGACUCAUUUACUUUUCUCCAAAUCAAUAUGCAGUGCUCAACACAGAGAAUAUCAAAUAUAAAGCCCAGAAGAUAACAGCAGCAAUUGCAACAUGCAAUUGUGCAGCUGUGGUAUCAUCCCGCACUGCCCCCUACCCCCCAGCCCAGGCCCCUCCAUCAGAUGCGUUGCUAUGUUAAUAUUUUAGGCUUAAAAGACCAGAAUUAAUGCAUUCAAUUUUGUCUCUGAUGUGUUGGUUUUCUGUCAAAAAUUCCUGACAGAAUUAACAGCCGAUGAAUCAGGAUAAUUAGAGAUGCAGAGAUGCGCCCGAUCACAUGGUCCUUGGGCACACCAUCAUCUCUUGCUUGGAUGCAGGGCUUUGGCACGAGAUGACCCGCCUCGCCAUUCUUCUCCAGGACAAUUUUCAGCUAUAAAUAGGCCACCAAUGAUUUUUCUCUCUGAAUAAUGAAUAUGGAGGGUGAUCUUCCUCUGUUUUGAUGAACAAGAAUGAUUACCAAAAUCAGACGAAAUCUAGGGAGGCAACUGGAGGAGGUGUUACAAAGCCCCUGAAAGGGACAAAGUUUAAAUUAAGAAGAGUUUAUAGCCUUAUCAUUUUACUGAUUCUUUUUUUUUUCAAAUCAUGAAAUGGUUUUCUGUUAAUAGAGAGAUCCUGCGAAAUAGGCAAAGAUCCUCUGGGGAAUGUUCCAGUUCAUUCAACCCUACAGUGAAAAUAGGGAAGUGUUUAGAGGAGGACAACAGAAACACAGGAAGUGGACAGCUGAAAAUGAGAAUGUGAAAUUUUAGCGUUUUCACACUCAGUGCCAGCCUCUGCCCCUUCCCUAGGCCAACGCCUCCUUUUCCGACAAUGUCUUCACUCUGGAACAGGAACAUGGCAGAAGGGAGAGAGGAAGGGAGGAUACAAGUGUCUGGCUGCCGGUGAAGGCGGUGAUGGAAGGAUGUGUUCCAGGCCUCUCUCCUGGGCUUGUGGAUGCCAUCUUCUCCCUGUGGAUUCGCAUCGUCUUCCUUCUGUAUGGGUCUGUGUCCAAAUUUCCCCUUCUUAUCUGGACUCCAGGCGUGUUGGAUAAGGGCCCACCCUAAUGACCUCAUUUUAACUUGAUCACCUCUGUAAAGACCCCAUCUCUGAAUAAAGUCUGAGGUACUGGC
This is a non-coding RNA of Equus caballus (horse), 3736 nucleotides long. The record is from RefSeq and is a predicted model, not a curated record. NCBI's taxonomy places the organism in Eukaryota, Metazoa, Chordata, Mammalia, Perissodactyla, Equidae.